GUGCAUAGAUAUAUUAUACUCUAGAUUGCGCCUUACGAUCUUAAAAUGGGUGACGGUUGCGACAGAGAUAAAUGAGCCUAUUUGGUCGGUAGUCUCUUUCUAAUUCAAGGGGAGUAUCGACGACGUCACUAUCCUACUCUAUCGACGAGUAUUUUAGAUGAUUUGACAGUUCGAGCGGAUGGCAACGAGAACUGGUCGUUUGUCUUCGGACGUGGAUAAUCCUGGUUCGAAUCCCAUACCAAUCUUUGCUUUUUUUAUUUUUUAUUUAAUCAAUAUUGCGUUUAUUAGAUAUUAUUAUAUCUCUAAAAUAAAUCUAAGCAAAGAAAUAUAUAACAAAUAAGAAAAACUGUGUAGGUACCUAUAGAUUUUUAAAAAUAUAAAAGCCAGUUAUUUUUUUAAUAAGUUAAUGGUACAAUAGUAUAAAGUAAUUGUUAAAAAUAUUCGUACAAAUUACCAAUAAUUAAUAUCAACAUAAUGUACCAUGAUCGAUUUAUUAAUUGAAUCGGUCAUUUCAAAAACAACACGAGACACGAGUCACAUAUUCCUAAUUUUACAGAAGAGCAAAGAAAACUACCUAUAUAGUCGAAAGAUGGAUGAAAUGGAUGACAUCAAAAUUCAGAGUUAUAUUGUAGUUUUGUUCCUAAUGUUUUUACUGGACUGGUGUCGUUUUUGCACACAACGUUUAUCUUAAAGGAGUCUGUUCCUCUCAAAAAGCUAGUUUCUGAAAAUUGUGGACUUUGCUGUUUUUGAAAUGACCGAUUCAAUUAUAAGUAAUUAGAUAUUAUUUUUAUUUAUGAAACUAUUAUUACAAUUUUUUAAAAAGGUAGAAGCAAUACAAACCUUAUUCACGUCAUUCGAAUAAGGCCGAAUUUAUAUUAAUAACGAAUGACUUAUUUUACAAAUAAUUAUGUAUUCCAAUAUUAACUUACUAUACAUACAUUUAUUAUCUGCUAGAUUUACUUAGGUCCAUUUUUCAGAUGUAAAAAUAUCUAAUAAACGCAAUAUUGAUUAAAUUAAAAAUAAAAAAGGUAAAGUUGGUAUGGGAUUCGAACCACGAUUAUCCAUGUCCGAAGUCCAAAGACCAUUUCUCGUCACCACCCGCUCGAACUGUCAAUACAUAAUACUCGAUAAAGUGGGAUAGUCACGUCGUCGAUAUUCCCCUUAAAUUAAAAAGAGACUACCGACCAAAUAGGCUCAUUUAUCUCUGUCGCAACCGUCACCCAUUUUAAGAUCGUAAGGCGCAAUCUAGAGUAUUAUAAAUCUAUGGGCAAUACAAACCACGUGACCUCUGGUUGCCACACAAACUAAAGAAGAGGUUAUGUUUGUGUCUAUUUUUCAAUGAUUUUUCAUUGUUUAUCGUCGUAUUUUGGAUUCAUUUGGAUUUCGUUUCCUGUUUUUGUGAACUUUAUAAACUUUACCACAAUGCGAACUGAUUAUUUAAGGAAAUUAUUAUUGGAAACUCCAGAUGUUGGGAGAAAGGUAGGCGAAACAAUGUUUAUUUACUGUUCAUUUUGCCCCGAUAUUUAUCAAUAAUGAUGAAUUUUGCAAGCAAUAACAUUAUUUCUUUUAUUGUUUUAGAUAUUUAUUGAAGCUGAAAAUAAUUGGGGAUUUAGAUCCAUACGGAAUUGAGUCAGAAUUGGAUUUUACAGUAAAGUGCAGUCCAUCAAGUUACUAUUAUAGAUAUGUAUUUAUACAGAUCUGGUGGAGUCUCACAGUUGCUACUCUAAGCAGCAGAUGAAAGCAUACAAAAGCCUUCAGGCACAUAAAUAUUUUACAGCUGGAUUUGUUUUGAAUGGAGUAAAAAUUGUUAAUGAUUUCCUGAUUUCCAUAUUAUUGUUGGAAAGGUGAAGCAUUUCCAAAAAGCUAAUGCUAAACGACUAAAUGCUUGGGUGGGGUGAUAGCCAGUUCUGAUGACAUAGCAAAUGCACAUUGUAUGCGUAUGGCCGGUAAUAGUGAAGUCUGCAGCCAUAUUGCAGCAAUAUAUAUUGCUGACCUGUAAAAGUACAUUUGUACAUUAUUACCAAUAAAUACUCUACUCUACUCUACUCUACUCUAAUCCUAUUUUUAGCUGAGUAUGCCCAGAGCAAGACAGACGAAGAAGAACCCAAUGCAUGUACAUAUGUUACAGCUACAUGGUUUGGAGAUAGCAACAUAUGCAUUCUCUGAUGAAAAACUAAUGAGUUUUGAAACUGUUCGGUCAGAGUGCUUGUUGCGCUCACUAAACGAACUGAAAUAUAAGAAGUCUUUGGCAUUGUGUUGCAGCGAUAUGAAAAUGGUUAUUCAUUUUUAAUUAUAAUGUACUUCUUCAUCAUGAGUAAUUAUGUAUUGGUCUUUUAGAUGUGUAUUUAUUUUUGUAAUUAGUAUCAACUUGUAAUGAUAAUAUACAUUUAUCGUUUAAGGUACGACUAUGUUUUGACUCUAAAAUAAAUGUUUUAAAAAUCGAA
Diabrotica virgifera virgifera (western corn rootworm) is the source of this 2444-nucleotide long non-coding RNA. RefSeq lists it as uncharacterized. NCBI's taxonomy places the organism in Eukaryota, Metazoa, Arthropoda, Insecta, Coleoptera, Chrysomelidae. The transcript has 2 exons. The record is from RefSeq and is a predicted model, not a curated record.